This 500-nucleotide ribosomal RNA is filed under the name uncultured bacterium. Its description in RNAcentral is "partial 16S ribosomal RNA". It matches the Rfam family "Bacterial small subunit ribosomal RNA", at positions 30 to 523 of the family's 1533-position model. The record is from RNAcentral.
AUUGAACGCUGGCGGAAUGCUUUACACAUGCAAGUCGAACGGCAGCACGGACUUCGGUCUGGUGGCGAGUGGCGAACGGGUGAGUAAUGUAUCGGAACGUGCCCAGUCGUGGGGGAUAACGUAGUGAAAAUUACGCUAAUACCGCAUACGAUCUAUGGAUGAAAGCGGGGGAUCGCAAGACCUCGCGCGAUUGGAGUGGCCGAUAGCAGCUUAGGUAGUUGGUGGGGUAAAGGCCCACCAAGCCAACGAUCUGUAGCUGGUCUGAGAGGACGACCAGCCACACUGGAACUGAGACACGGUCCAGACUCCUACGGGAGGCAGCAGUGGGGAAUUUUGGACAAUGGGCGAAAGCCUGAUCCAGCCAUUCCGCGUGCAGGAUGAAGGCCCUCGGGUUGUAAACUGCUUUUGUACAGAACGAAAAGGUUUCUACUAAUACUAGGAGCUCAUGACGGUACUGUAAGAAUAAGCACCGGCUAACUACGUGCCAGCAGCCGCAGUAA